AUGACAGACACCCUGCAUCCCCUCCUGCGAUUCUGCAUGCUGGUGUUCUUCGACGACAUACUUGUGUUCAGUAAAACUUGGGAAGAACACUUGGACCACGUGCGCCAGGUCCUCACCUUGCUGCUCGUGACCAAUGGAAGGUUAAGAAAUCCAAGUGCGAGUUCGGACAGUAGCAACUGUCAUAUCUGGGGCACGUCAUCAGCUGUCAGGGGGUGUCCACUGACCCUAGUAAGAUCCAAACAGUCCAAUUGUGGCAAACACCGGGGGGUGUUAAGAAGGUGCGCCGGUUUCUGGGAUUGGCUGGGUACUACCGCAGAUUUGUGCGUGGAUUCGGCAUCAUUGCCCGGCCUCUUUUCAACUUGCUCAAGAAAGGCGUGCCGUUCGUGUGGACCGAUAACACCAAACAGGCUUUUCUUCUCCUGA
RNAcentral lists this ribosomal RNA (423 nucleotides) under Triticum aestivum (bread wheat). RNAcentral describes it as "partial small subunit ribosomal RNA". Lineage: Eukaryota; Viridiplantae; Streptophyta; Magnoliopsida; Poales; Poaceae. The record is from RNAcentral.